GAUGAACGCUGGCGGCGUGCCUAAUACAUGCAAGUCGAGCGAACAGACGAGGAGCUUGCUCUUCUGACGUUAGCGGCGGACGGGUGAGUAACACGUGGAUAACCUACCUAUAAGACUGGUAUAACUUCGGGAAACCGGAGCUAAUACCGGAUAAUAUAUUGAACCGCAUGGUUCAAUAGUGAAAGACGGUUUUGCUGUCACUUAUAGAUGGAUCCGCGCCGCAUUAGCUAGUUGGUAAGGUAACGGCUUACCAAGGCGACGAUGCGUAGCCGACCUGAGAGGGUGAUAGGCCACCCUGGAACGGAACCGCGCUCCAGACUCCUGCGGGAGGCAGCAGUAGGGAAUCUUCCGCAGUGGGCGAAAGCUUGGCGGAGCAAGGCCACGUGAGUGAUGACGGUGUUCGGAUCGUAAAACUCUGUUAUUAGGGAAGAACAACUGUGUAAGUAACUAUGCACGUCUUGACGGUACCUAAUCAGAAAGCCACGGCUAACUACGUG
Molecule: ribosomal RNA, 497 nt
Filed under: uncultured bacterium
Lineage: Bacteria
Description: partial 16S ribosomal RNA
Rfam family: Bacterial small subunit ribosomal RNA
Source: RNAcentral